CGUGAGAGGAUAAAGAUAAGUGGUUUCUCAUUUGAAUUCAAAUCGAAUUUGAAUUCAAAUGCCAACCAACUCAUGUUUAUUCACUCUUGGCCUGAGAAGAGAAGGGCGUGGGCUACUUUAUGCAUCAAAAAUUUUCACGAGAAACCUUUUCUCGUGUGGAAGAAGUGGCGCACAAAAUAAAGGGGUGGCGCAGGGAUUUGUUAACCAUUCAAAUUCAAACAUCCUUUGAAUUUGAAUGGCCAAGC
This 245-nucleotide long non-coding RNA is filed under the name Elaeis guineensis (African oil palm). RNAcentral's name for it is "long non-coding RNA (EGUI_LNC055922)". Lineage: Eukaryota; Viridiplantae; Streptophyta; Magnoliopsida; Arecales; Arecaceae. The record is from RNAcentral.